UACGGGGGGGGCAAGCGUUGUUCGGAAUUACUGGGCGUAAAGGGCUCGUAGGCGGCCGACUAAGUCAGACGUGAAAUCCCUCGGCUCAACCGGGGAACUGCGUCUGAUACUGAUUGGCUUGAGUUCGGGAGAGGGAUGCGGAAUUCCAGGUGUAGCGGUGAAAUGCGUAGAUAUCUGGAGGAACACCGGUGGCGAAGGCGGCAUCCUGGACCGACCCUGACGCUGAGGAGCGAAAGCCAGGGGAGCAAACGGG
RNAcentral lists this ribosomal RNA (253 nucleotides) under uncultured bacterium. Its description in RNAcentral is "partial 16S ribosomal RNA". It matches the Rfam family "Bacterial small subunit ribosomal RNA", at positions 524 to 776 of the family's 1533-position model. The record is from RNAcentral.